AGAGUUUGAUCCUGGCUCAGGACGAACGCUGGCGGCGUGCUUAACACAUGCAAGUCGAGCGAUGAAGUUUCUUCGGAAAUGGAUUAGCGGCGAACGGGUGAGGAACACGUGAAGAAUCUGCCCUCCACUUUGGGAUAACACCGGGAAACCGGUGCUAAUACCGAAUAUUGAAACAUAAGUGGCAUCACUGAGUUUUGAAAGAAUUUCGGUGGAGGAUGACUUCGCGGCCUAUCAGCUAGUUGGUGAGGUAAUGGCUCACCAAGGCAACGACGGGUAGCCGGCCUGAGAGGGCGGCCGGCCACACUGGGACUGAGACACGGCCCAGACUCCUACGGGAGGCAGCAGUGGGGAAUAUUGGGCAAUGGAGGAAACUCUGACCCAGCGACGCCGCGUGCGGGAUGAAGGCCUUCGGGUUGUAAACCGCUUUCAGUAGGGAAGAAGCGAAAGUGACGGUACCUACAAAAGAAGCACCGGCUAACUAUGUGCCAGCAGCCGCGGUAAUACAUAGGGUGCAAGCGUUGUCCGGAAUUAUUGGGCGUAAAGAGCUCGUAGGUCGUUUGUUACGUCGGAUGUGAAAACCUGAGGCUCAACCUCAGGCCUGCAUUCGAUACGGGCAAACUAGAGUUUGGUAGGGGAGACUGGAAUUCCUGGUGUAGCGGUGGAAUGCGCAGAUAUCAGGANGAACACCAAUGGCGAAGGCAGGUCUCUGGGCCAAUACUGACACUGAGGAGCGAAAGUCUGGGGAGCGAACAGGANUAGA
RNAcentral lists this ribosomal RNA (760 nucleotides) under uncultured bacterium. RNAcentral's name for it is "bacterial SSU rRNA". It matches the Rfam family "Bacterial small subunit ribosomal RNA", at positions 8 to 782 of the family's 1533-position model. The record is from RNAcentral.